CCUACGGGGGGCAGCAGUGGGGGAUAUUGCACAAUGGGGGAAACCCUGAUGCAGCGACGCCGCGUGUGGGAAGACGGUCCUCUGGAUUGUAAACCACUGUCCCCAGGGACGAAGAUGACGGUACCUGGGGAGGAAGCUCCGGCUAACUACGUGCCAGCAGCCGCGGUAAUACGUAGGGAGCGAGCGUUGUCCGGAAUUACUGGGUGUAAGGGGAGCGUAGGCGGGACUGCAAGUUGGGUGUCAAAUCUACCGGCUCAACCGGUAGCCGCACUCAAAACUGCAGUUCUUGAGUGAAGUAGAGGCAGGCGGAAUUCCUAGUGUAGCGGUGAAAUGCGUAGAUAUUAGGAGGAACACCAGUGGCGAAGGCGGCCUGCUGGGCUUUUACUGACGCUGAGGCUCGAAAGUGUGGGGAGCAAACAGGAUUAGAUACCCCUGUAGUC
RNAcentral lists this ribosomal RNA (440 nucleotides) under uncultured bacterium. RNAcentral's name for it is "partial 16S ribosomal RNA". It matches the Rfam family "Bacterial small subunit ribosomal RNA", at positions 338 to 795 of the family's 1533-position model. The record is from RNAcentral.